CCUACGGGGGGCAGCAGUGAGGAAUAUUGGUCAAUGGACGAGAGUCUGAACCAGCCAAGUAGCGUGAAGGAUGACUGCCCUAUGGGUUGUAAACUUCUUUUAUACGGGAAUAAAGUGAGCCACGUGUGGCUUUUUGUAUGUACCGUAUGAAUAAGGAUCGGCUAACUCCGUGCCAGCAGCCGCGGUAAUACGGAGGAUCCGAGCGUUAUCCGGAUUUAUUGGGUUUAAAGGGAGCGUAGGCGGGUUGUUAAGUCAGUUGUGAAAGUUUGCGGCUCAACCGUAAAAUUGCAGUUGAUACUGGCGACCUUGAGUGCAACAGAGGUAGGCGGAAUUCGUGGUGUAGCGGUGAAAUGCUUAGAUAUCACGAAGAACUCCGAUUGCGAAGGCAGCUUACUGGAUUGUAACUGACGCUGAUGCUCGAAAGUGUGGGUAUCAAACAGGAUUAGAUACCCUGGUAGUC
Molecule: ribosomal RNA, 460 nt
Filed under: Acinetobacter baumannii
Lineage: Bacteria; Pseudomonadati; Pseudomonadota; Gammaproteobacteria; Moraxellales; Moraxellaceae
Description: bacterial SSU rRNA
Rfam family: Bacterial small subunit ribosomal RNA
Source: RNAcentral